AGCGGCAGAACCCAGACCAUGUCCCAGUACGGGACACUAUUCUCGGAUGCUGAUGUCAGAACAGCAGGUGUACCCCAUGGAUGAAUAAAGAGUUCCAGAGAGCGGCAGAGACCAGACCAUGACCCAGAACGGCACACUGUUCCCGGACAGUGAUGGCAGACCAGCAGGUGUACCGCAUGGAUGAAUAAAGAGCUCCAGAGAGCGGCAGAGACCAGACCAAGUCCCAGAACGACACACUAUUCCCGGACAGUGAUGGCAGAACAGCAGGUGCAGUGGAUGGAUGAAUAAAGAGCUCCAGAGAGCGGCAGAGACCAGACCAAGUCCCAGAACGACACACUAUUCCCGGACAGUGAUGGCAGAACAGCUGGUGUACCCCAUGGAUGAAUAAAGAGCUCCAGAGAGCGGCAGAGACCAGACCAAGUCCCAGAACGACACACUAUUCCCGGACAGUGAUGGCAGAACAGCAGGUGUACCGCAUGGAUGAAUAAAGAGCUCCAGAGAGCGGCAGAUACCAGACCAAGUCCCAGAACGACACACUAUUCCCGGACAGUGAUGGCAGA
Molecule: long non-coding RNA, 560 nt
Organism: Gasterosteus aculeatus aculeatus (three-spined stickleback)
Lineage: Eukaryota; Metazoa; Chordata; Actinopteri; Perciformes; Gasterosteidae
Source: Ensembl